UCCCGAUGCUAUUUCUAGAGAUAGAAAGUUACUUCGGUACAUCGGUUGACAGGUGGUGCAUGGUUGUCGUCAGCUCGUGUCGUGAGAUGUUGGGUUAAGUCCCGCAACGAGCGCAACCCCUAUUGUUAGUUGCCAUCAUUUCAGUUUGGGCACUCUAGCGAGACUGCCGGUAAUAAACCGGAGGAAGGUGGGAUGACGUCAAAUCAUCAUGCCCCUUAUGACCUGGGCUACACACGUGCUACAAUGGUUGGUACAACGAGUUGCGAGUCGGUGACGGCGAGCUAAUCUCUUAAAGCCAAUCUCAGUUCGGAUUGUAGGCUGCAACUCGCCUACAUGAAGUCGGAAUCGCUAGUAAUCGCGGAUCAGCACGCCCGCGGUCGAAUACGUUCCGGGCCUU
RNAcentral lists this ribosomal RNA (397 nucleotides) under uncultured Streptococcus sp. RNAcentral describes it as "bacterial SSU rRNA". It matches the Rfam family "Bacterial small subunit ribosomal RNA", at positions 987 to 1382 of the family's 1533-position model. The record is from RNAcentral. Lineage: Bacteria; Bacillati; Bacillota; Bacilli; Lactobacillales; Streptococcaceae.